This 429-nucleotide ribosomal RNA is filed under the name uncultured bacterium. RNAcentral's name for it is "bacterial SSU rRNA". It matches the Rfam family "Bacterial small subunit ribosomal RNA", at positions 29 to 506 of the family's 1533-position model. The record is from RNAcentral.
ACGAACGCUGGCGGCAGGCUUAACACAUGCAAGUCGAACGCACCGCAAGGUGAGUGGCAGACGGGUGAGUAACGCGUGGGAAUCUACCUAGCUCUUCGGAAUAGCUCCGGGAAACUGGAAUUAAUACCGAGUACGCCCUACGGGGGAAAGAUUUAUCGGAGUUAGAUGAGCCCGCGUUGGAUUAGCUAGUUGGUGGGGUAAUGGCCUACCAAGGCGACGAUCCAUAGCUGGUCUGAGAGGAUGAUCAGCCACACUGGGACUGAGACACGGCCCAGACUCCUACGGGAGGCAGCAGUGGGGAAUAUUGGACAAUGGGCGCAAGCCUGAUCCAGCCAUGCCGCGUGAGUGAUGAAGGCCCUAGGGUUGUAAAGCUCUUUCAGUGGGGAAGAUAAUGACGGUACCCACAGAAGAAGCCCCGGCUAACUUCGU